UGGGGAAUAUUGCACAAUGGGGGAAACCCUGAUGCAGCGACGCCGCGUGAACGAAGAAGGUAUUCGUAUCGUAAAGUUCUGUCCUAUGGGAAGAUAAUGACAGUACCAUAGAAGAAAGCUCCGGCUAAAUACGUGCCAGCAGCCGCGGUAAUACGUAUGGAGCGAGCGUUGUCCGGAAUUAUUGGGCGUAAAGGGUACGCAGGCGGUUUAAUAAGUCGAAUGUUAAAGAUCGGGGCUCAACCCCGCAAAGCAUUGGAAACUGAUAAACUUGAGUAGUGUAGAGGAAAGUGGAAUUCCUAGUGUAGUGGUGAAAUACGUAGAUAUUAGGAGGAAUACCAGUAGCGAAGGCGACUUUCUGGACACAAACUGACGCUGAGGUACGAAAGCGUGGGGAGCAAACAGG
Molecule: ribosomal RNA, 403 nt
Filed under: bacterium
Lineage: Bacteria
Description: partial 16S ribosomal RNA
Rfam family: Bacterial small subunit ribosomal RNA
Source: RNAcentral